RNAcentral lists this transfer RNA (87 nucleotides) under Ruminiclostridium sp. Its description in RNAcentral is "tRNA-Leu". It matches the Rfam family "tRNA". From Rfam's summary of the family: Transfer RNA (tRNA) molecules are approximately 80 nucleotides in length. Their secondary structure includes four short double-helical elements and three loops (D, anti-codon, and T loops). The record is from RNAcentral. Lineage: Bacteria; Bacillati; Bacillota; Clostridia; Eubacteriales; Oscillospiraceae.
GCCGGCGUGAUGGAAUUGGCAGACGUGCCGGACUCAAAAUCCGGUGGUAGCAAUACCGUGCGGGUUCGACCCCCGCCGCCGGCACCA